UUCAUAUUUUACUAACAAUAAGAGUUAUUUCUAAGAUAAUUUUAGCACUGAUAUGUUGCUAAUUAUUUUAUAUUUUCUGUCUAAUAAUUUUGUUUGUAGGUUCCGAAGAUGAAGCUAUUGAAGAUAGAACUCCAGAAGAAAGUGAGGAUGAACAGGUGUCUGAGAAUUACGCAGCAAAAACUGCGUAUGAAGCAUCAGCGACUCCAGCAGAUAGUGAAGCAGAGUCUAAUGCAGAACUGACAGAUGAUGAAGUUGAUGACAGUCCUGAUCGAUGGAAAAGUGAGUAAUUUGAAUAUCAUUUAAUGGUAGUUAGGAAAUUUUGUUGGACUCAAUCAUUUUUUCGUCCCAGAUCAUUCUAUUGAAGUCAAAUUUUGUACUUUUAUCAGUUUAAAUCGAAAGUCUCGAGUUUCAAUCAAUAAAUGAUAUUCACUCCUUGAUUUUUCUCAAUUUUUAAGGUGGUACAUGAUUGACAAACAAUGAACCACUAGACUAGGUGAAAAUUUAAGCACUCUGAUUUAUAUCCAUUUUUCAAAAUUUUACUUGAAAUUCGAUUUGCACAACAAAAAUUACUGAAAUUAACUUCCAACGAAGAUAAUUUAACAUUGGUUAUGAAAUAUCUGAACUCUCUGCUCACAUGAAAAAACUGAGUUAACUUUAAUAAUUUUUUAGAUGAAGAAGCUGAUGCCCAGACUGGAACUGAAGAAGAAGAGGAAGAAGAGGAGGAAGAAGACGAAGAAGAAGAAACAGAGGAAGAAGAGAGCCCACCUCCAUCCCCACCAAAACCAAAAAUCCAGCCUGAGCAAAAUCCACGCCGAAGGGGAGGUCCUCGAUCAGCUGACGACAUUGAUUUUGAGCAGGAAUAUUAUGAAUAUACAGACAUCACAAAUGACUAUGACUGGGCUAUUCGAAAUGAAUUGGAUUUUGCAGAGGAUGAAUUCUUGA
Molecule: long non-coding RNA, 942 nt
Filed under: Bemisia tabaci
Lineage: Eukaryota; Metazoa; Arthropoda; Insecta; Hemiptera; Aleyrodidae
Description: lncRNA ENSSSA1UGG000950
Source: RNAcentral